This 240-nucleotide ribosomal RNA is filed under the name uncultured bacterium. RNAcentral describes it as "partial 16S ribosomal RNA". It matches the Rfam family "Bacterial small subunit ribosomal RNA", at positions 524 to 762 of the family's 1533-position model. The record is from RNAcentral.
UACGAAGGGGGCUAGCGUUGUUCGGAAUUACUGGGCGUAAAGCGCGUGUAGGCGGGUCUUUAAGUCAGGGGUGAAAUGCCAGGGCUCAACCUUGGAACUGCCUUUGAUACUGGAGACCUUGAGUCCGGGAGAGGUGAGUGGAAUUGCGAGUGUAGAGGUGAAAUUCGUAGAUAUUCGCAAGACCACCAGUCGGCGAAGGCGGCUUGCCAGAACGCGCUCGACGGUGAGGGAUGAAAGCUG